AGGCAGGUCAGCAGGAGAAGGACCAUAGGUCAGGGAGUGUUUGGUUUCAGGGAGAUCGUUGGGGAGGAGUUCAUGACCAUGUUCCUGUCAGUUUUUAGAAGUAUGGUUCAGAGACUGGUUUAGGAGGAUGUAGAAAGAACGAUGUUCAUACAAUUCAGUGCAGCAUCAACAGGCGUGUUCCUAAAUUUUGAUGAUUAUUAUAGUGAAAGAGAGAGGAUAUGGUGACCGAAAGUCUAUGUGUUUGUGUCAUGUACGUGUCGGGCAGUGGUAGAUUAAAGAUAUUUUGUAAUGGGACUUGGCAAGGGAUAGAGACUGGCAUGAUUUUUUUUAUUGAGCAGCGAAUUGGCGCAACCCUUCGUGAUUUUUAAAGUUUGGACAGAGUUAUAAACCAUUUGCCGCCUAAUCCAUAGAUUAUUGGAGGAUCAAGAUGGUGGCCAUCAGGGUUCCCGUCACCGUGCAUGCCAAGCUUGAGCUCCUCAAGAACGCCACCAAGCUGGCGUGUAAUGGAUGAUGGCUGAUGCAACGGUGGAGGCGUAUUGAUGUCAGUUUGAAGCAAAUCAGGAGAACGCCACCAUCGGUUAGGUUGCCAGGUGAAGGAAUUGCAGCGGACUGGUGGCGAGGCUUUUCAACUCACCACCGUUUGAGUUUAUCAUCUGUCACUACUGCACCCACUAGCCGUAUCCAUGUUUGCAUAUUCUCCAGCCCAUUGAAUAAUCCACGGUAAGUGGUUAGGAGCUACAUAUUUUCCACUUUUGCCAUGUUUCAUAUACCAAACUAAUAUAUUCUUUGACAUGAAAAUAGAUUCCGAUCUUCUGGUCUUGCCUACUGUUUACUUAUUCAAAUUGAUUCAGUUUUCCGUUCGUGUGCAUUAGUCAUAUUAUAAGUUGUUGCACGCUGCCGUAAUCUGCCCGGAGCCACGCAACCUCUGUCCUAAUGGCACGCCAUCGCUUAUAAUUCUGGCUCCACUUCCUCUAGGCAGCAUUGUCGUUGAAACCCAUAAUAUGAGAGACAGUUUAGUUAUCGAUGGUAGUUGGAUGCUGCUAUGGAGGAAUAAAAGGAACAUUGUGAUUACAGGCACAUUUUGGAUAAUAGCAGGAAGGAGCUGCUGGAACUAACUAAUGCUAGAAAGUAAUUUCUUGAUCUAUUUACUCACAUACACAAGUAGUUGUUGAGAUAAAGCAAUACGUUUUCUGGGCCCAAGUAGCAUUUACAUUAAUAGUGAUUUUUGUGAGAAGAAAAAUAGUAUAGGCUGAUUCCUAUUAUUACAGUACCAACUUAACUCAGAAACAGAGAAGCACCAAGCUGGACUGCUGGCCGGGGAGAUGCAUAUGUGGGCACUUUCUGCUGGCCAAGUUCAGAAGCAAAUUAACUGCUUAUAUUUGCAUAAGCAACAGAGAGGAAAUGUUACAGAACUUAGCAAAAAAUGGUAUUCGAGGCUUAUAGUGCGUUGCACUUUCUGCUGUAAGACAUCCAUUGUUAGUGUG
Molecule: non-coding RNA, 1484 nt
Organism: Triticum urartu
Lineage: Eukaryota; Viridiplantae; Streptophyta; Magnoliopsida; Poales; Poaceae
Source: RefSeq, a predicted model, not a curated record